AUACCCCACAACGCACUCUCAAAGUAAAGCAGGCUACAUGUGGGGAAAAUUGGCCUUGUUUGUGGAGUGAACCCUACUAUGUUUCCUCUCUCUCUUCUCUCUCUCUCUCUCUCUCACACACACACACAAACACACACACACACAAUGUGCUAGAGUGGUCCAUCACACUUUGUGUGUGUAUGGGCAUGUUAAUUCAUUUUCUUCCACUCCUCCACACCUUUCUACUGUCUGAAAUUUCCACUUUCCGUUUCUCUAUAUACUUGGAGAUAUAUAUGUGUAUAUAUAGCAACAGCCUUUGGUAGCUCAGUUCAAGAGAUGAAAGCAAAAACCCAAUAAUUGAAAAAUUAUAUAAAAAGCCCUUUCAUGCUUUUCCACAGCUUUCUUGAACUUCUUCUUCUGCUUCAGGUCUGAUCUGAUCCAUCCAUCCCCCUCCCCCCUCCCAUUCUGACCAGAAACAUGGUAAUUAUAAGCUCAAGAAAGCUGUGGGAAAACAUGAUAAUUCUGGACUUUUUAGUACUCGAUCAUCUCUUGGUGACUCAAAUGCAGCUUUUUCACUUGAUAUAUAUCUACUCGUGUGACGUUCGAUGGUAAAAUCAGCAACAUACGGCGAUUUUAAGUUCUUUAAAUUUACCCGUUUUCACAUCGAGUGCUUUAAAAUGAUGGGGUGGAAGAAUUUUUCAGUAACAAUCAAUUUGGGCAUAUUACACUCAGAAUUCACCGGAGAGUUUGUUGAAUUAGGGGGUUUUCAGAAGUGUACGAAAGAAUUCAAUGACCCGACAAUUCUGACUGUUUACCGUGGAAAAUUACAGUUGAAAAUUCGGAGUUUAAGAAAUGUUUUUUUUCCCCUUCAUUUCUGUAAUGUUUUCACAGCAUUCUUUUCUUUGACUUGUUAUUGUGUUUUGUUAUGGAUAGUUUAGUUUUCAUCUGAAUGGUUGAAAUAAACAAGAAAGAAACUGAGAGGUGGAGCAGAGAAGAUUCCCUGCCAUUAUUUCCUCCUUAUGAUCAAUAAUAA
Sesamum indicum (sesame) is the source of this 1012-nucleotide long non-coding RNA. RefSeq lists it as uncharacterized. The record is from RefSeq and is a predicted model, not a curated record. Lineage: Eukaryota; Viridiplantae; Streptophyta; Magnoliopsida; Lamiales; Pedaliaceae.